GUUUCUAGAAAGGAUGAAAACUCCGUUUUAUGUAUGGUAUGUAAAAGGUAAUCGUUGUUUACUGUUUAUUUUGUAUUCAGGUAUGGGGAAUUUAAGCGAUGAGAGUUGCAAAACUUGCAAAUGUAGUCCGACUAGUCUCUUUUAUGUCAUCAUGCAACUAUUUGAUAUUGUGCUACAUUCAUUAUUCAAUUUAUUUGCAGCAAUUAGCUUUCUGUAAACC
This is a non-coding RNA of Paramuricea clavata, 220 nucleotides long. Lineage: Eukaryota; Metazoa; Cnidaria; Anthozoa; Malacalcyonacea; Plexauridae. The record is from the annotation of a GenBank genome assembly.